Molecule: long non-coding RNA, 478 nt
Organism: Nerophis ophidion (straightnose pipefish)
Lineage: Eukaryota; Metazoa; Chordata; Actinopteri; Syngnathiformes; Syngnathidae
Exons: 5
Source: RefSeq, a predicted model, not a curated record
CGCAAAGGAUUGUGGGUAAUCAUCUAGCUCGCCACUAGGAUUUGCCUGGAGGUGCUGACUGUAUUUCCUGGCGGAUCACGUGAUGCGGAACACGGUACGUGACGUCACGCCGUCCCUUUAUUAACGCAGUAGGCCUUUGCAAGAUUGUUGCCACCAACCUGGAUCCCUGCGGUUUUUUCCGUGUUGGCUCGUCAAUGAGCGGCAAAGAGCCAGGAUGAAACUCUUGAAGAUGUUGCAACUUUGGCUGCCGACGACCCGAUUUGCCGCCGUUGACCCCGUAAAUGUUGCGAUGCGGCAAAAAAGCCAAGGCGGGAACGCUGGACUGUCUGUGGACGUGACUCUUAAGGAGCGGAUGAGGAAACAGCGAGGAGGAGACGAAGCAGUCGUCCCUCACCAUGCACACGGGCCUCCCGUUGAGUCCUGAGGUGGCAUGUUUUGUGUUCUGCACCCGGGCGGCUUUUCCUUCAGUUCUGAGAAA